CCUACGGGAGGCAGCAGUGGGGAAUAUUGGGCAAUGGAGGAAACUCUGACCCAGCAACGCCGCGUGAAUGAUGAAGGUCUUCGGAUUGUAAAGUUCUUUUCUAAGGGAAGAAGAAAGUGACGGUACCUUAGGAAUAAGCCUCGGCUAACUACGUGCCAGCAGCCGCGGUAAUACGUAGGAGGCGAGCGUUAUCCGGAAUGACUGGGCGGAAAGGGGGCGUAGGUGGUUUGGCAAGUUAGUAGCGUAACUCCAAGGCUCAACCUUGGAACUACUACUAAAACUGUUGGACGUGAGUGCAGGAGGGGCAACCGGAAUUCCUAGUGUAGCGGUGGAAUGCGUAGAUAUUAGGAGGAACACCAGUGGCGAAGGCGGGUUACUAGACUGUAACUGACACUGAGGCACGAAAGCGUGGGGAGCAAACAGGAUUAGAUACCCCAGUAGUC
This 443-nucleotide ribosomal RNA is filed under the name uncultured bacterium. Its description in RNAcentral is "partial 16S ribosomal RNA". It matches the Rfam family "Bacterial small subunit ribosomal RNA", at positions 338 to 795 of the family's 1533-position model. The record is from RNAcentral.